UCACAUGCUCCAGCAGUCAGGAAUAGAGUCAGCUAAUCACAGUGGAGCAUUCCUCUACCUCUCUAAGCUUCAAAAUUUAGAACUAGAGAUAUCGAUAUCAACUGACUGGGAGGAUAAAUAGACAAAAAUUUUAAAAGCAGAAUACAACCGUCAUCAUUCUGCAGAGCUUCAAGCCGAGUAUCAACUGUAACAAGCUUACCAGUCUUGGAGAAGGUUGGGGCAAUGAAAUUGCAGCUAAAAUCUGAAAUGUAACAGAAGACAGGAACUUCUAUGUUCAUGUGCAAGACAAUAAGCUUCAAAAUUGAAUGUAGGAAUAAUUCAUAUUUCCUCUAAGAAAUAAAGACACAGCGAAGAAUAAUUGUAUUAACUUUGAAAUUUUUCACUUCAAAAUGUGUUGAAAUAAAAAACGGAAAACAACAUUUAAAAGAAUAAAUAAAUAAAUAAAAAUUAAUGCCAAUUAGCUGAAAUUCUUCUGUUGGCCUGAAUAAGAUUCAUUCUGGCAAA
Octopus sinensis (East Asian common octopus) is the source of this 504-nucleotide long non-coding RNA. RefSeq lists it as uncharacterized. The transcript is spliced from 4 exons. NCBI's taxonomy places the organism in Eukaryota, Metazoa, Mollusca, Cephalopoda, Octopoda, Octopodidae. The record is from RefSeq and is a predicted model, not a curated record.